UUCACCUACGGGACGCAGCAGUAGGGAAUCUUCCACAAUGGGCGAAAGCCUGAUGGGGCAACGCCGCGUGGGUGAAGAAGGUCUUCGGAUCGUGAAACCCUGUUGUUAGAGAAGAAAGUGCGUGAGAGUAACUGUUCACGUUUCGACGGUAUCUAACCAGAAAGCCACGGCUAACUACGUGCCAGCAGCCGCGGUAAUACGUAGGUGGCAAGCGUUAUCCGGAUUUAUUGGGCGUAAAGGGAAGGCAGGCGGUCUUUUAAGUCUGAUGUGAAAGCCUUCGGAUUAACCGGAGUAGUGCGUAGGAA
Molecule: ribosomal RNA, 305 nt
Filed under: uncultured bacterium
Lineage: Bacteria
Description: bacterial SSU rRNA
Rfam family: Bacterial small subunit ribosomal RNA
Source: RNAcentral